AGGUCUUGACAUCCUCUGACAACUCUAGAGAUAGAGCGUUCCCCUUCGGGGGACAGAGUGACAGGUGGUGCAUGGUUGUCGUCAGCUCGUGUCGUGAGAUGUUGGGUUAAGUCCCGCAACGAGCGCAACCCUUGAUCUUAGUUGCCAGCAUUUAGUUGGGCACUCUAAGGUGACUGCCGGUGACAAACCGGAGGAAGGUGGGGAUGACGUGUGGAUGUCGAUA
Molecule: unclassified non-coding RNA, 223 nt
Filed under: Bacillus sp. (in: firmicutes)
Lineage: Bacteria; Bacillati; Bacillota; Bacilli; Caryophanales; Bacillaceae
Description: Bacillus sp. (in: Bacteria) contains 16S-23S intergenic spacer region
Rfam family: Bacterial small subunit ribosomal RNA
Source: RNAcentral